AUGGGGAGGAAAGGAGAAAUGAGGGGCGGUGGGAGUUUGACUGAGCUUUGGUCAUCUUGUGGUGUGUGGAUGGUAAAUUUUAUGGAGUACUUCACUGGAGAUAUGUUGUCUGACAUUCCUACACAGGAACAUAUGACAGAUUUUAGAACAAAACUAGCUGUCAUUUUAGUGGACUCAGAAUUGAAUGAUGAUAAUAUAAGAAAUCGAGACAUGGAAGAGGACGAUAACAACACAGAUCCCACAGAAUGUAUGAUUCUGGAUAGACCCCCUGAGAAUUUCAAAAUAUCAAAUACAUCAACAGAAGUUGAGCUCAUCUCGCGGUCAUUUAUUCUUUCACCGUCUGUCAACCCAACAAACGAUGAUUUAAUAGAUGAACUUUGCUUGUUCAUCAGUAUGGUUGAUGAUGUCGCUCUACUAGAAAAAGUUGUCUCAAUUUUCGAUCCGAUACCAAUACCUACUUUCGGAAAGAAUGUACAUAAAACCGUGGCCGACAAUCUAAACCUUGCGCUUGAAGUUGCAAACCCUACAUUCAAGGAUGAUAUCUCUAAAUGGGAAUGCAUAGUUCAUGAUGCUCCAACAAACUCACACUGUGCCUUGUCUGGUUAUUUGGUUUUUAAUUACAUGCACUCAUUGUGCGAUGGAAAGCUAUAUUUUCCCAUACCCCAGGAUGGUUUUCAACUGAGGAAGCAAUUUUUUGUGCAUAUUUUAAAGUACGAAGAGAAUGAAGCUCAAAACAAUAUCCCAUACAUUGAACGAAGCAUCAUUGAUCGCAUCUAUAGAUGGACCUUCAUUGCUUCAAAAGAUGGACCUUCAAAACAUGCUUAG
This 825-nucleotide ribosomal RNA is filed under the name Triticum aestivum (bread wheat). Its description in RNAcentral is "partial small subunit ribosomal RNA". Lineage: Eukaryota; Viridiplantae; Streptophyta; Magnoliopsida; Poales; Poaceae. The record is from RNAcentral.